GUCCAUGCCGUAAACGUUGGGAACUAGAUGUAGGGCCUGUUCCACGGGUUCUGUGUCGUAGCUAACGCAUUAAGUUCCCCGCCUGGGGAGUACGGCCGCAAGGCUAAAACUCAAAGGAAUUGACGGGGCCCGCACAAGCGGCGGAGCAUGCGGAUUAAUUCGAUGCAACGCGAAGAACCUUACCAAGGCUUGACAUGUACGAGAACGGGCGAGAGAUCGUCAACUCUUUGGACACUCGUAUACAGGUGGUGCAUGGUUGUCGU
Molecule: ribosomal RNA, 263 nt
Filed under: uncultured bacterium
Lineage: Bacteria
Description: partial 16S ribosomal RNA
Rfam family: Bacterial small subunit ribosomal RNA
Source: RNAcentral